This 444-nucleotide ribosomal RNA is filed under the name uncultured bacterium. RNAcentral describes it as "bacterial SSU rRNA". It matches the Rfam family "Bacterial small subunit ribosomal RNA", at positions 330 to 792 of the family's 1533-position model. The record is from RNAcentral.
CCCAGACUCCUACGGGAGGCAGCAGUGGGGAAUAUUGCACAAUGGGGGAACCCUGAUGCAGCGACGCCACGUGGGUGAAGGAGUGCUUCGGCAUGUAAAGCCCUAUCGGCAGGGAAGAAGCAAGACGGGACCUGACUAAGAAGCCCCGGCUAACUACGUGCCAGCAGCCGCGGUAAUACGGAGGAUGCGAGCGUUAUCCGGAUUUAUUGGGUUUAAAGGGUGCGCAGGCGGCACGGCAAGCCGGCGGGAAAAUCGCGGGGCUCAACCCCGCCCAGCCGUCGGAACUGCCGGGCUAGAGUGGGCGAGAAGUGCGCGGAAUGCGUGGUGUAGCGGUGAAAUGCAUAGAUAUCACGCAGAACUCCGAUUGCGAAGGCAGCGCACCGGCGCCCUACUGACGCUCAGGCACGAAAGCGUGGGUAUCGAACAGGAUUAGAUACCCGUGUA